Molecule: ribosomal RNA, 50 nt
Filed under: Caloplaca chlorina
Lineage: Eukaryota; Fungi; Ascomycota; Lecanoromycetes; Teloschistales; Teloschistaceae
Also listed under: 2 other names
Description: partial 28S ribosomal RNA
Source: RNAcentral
GUUGACCUCGGAUCAGGUAGGGAUACCCGCUGAACUUAAGCAUAUCAUAA